CCUACGGGAGGCUGCAGUGGGGAAUAUUGGACAAUGGGGGCAACCCUGAUCCAGCCAUGCCGCGUGUGUGAAGAAGGCCCUCGGGUUGUAAAGCACUUUCAGUGAGGAAGAACGCCUGGUGGUUAAUACCCAUCAGGAAAGACAUCACUCACAGAAGAAGCACCGUCUAACUCCGUGCCAGCAGCCGCGGUAAUACGGAGGGUGCGAGCGUUAAUCGGAAUUACUGGGCGUAAAGCGCGCGUAGGUGGCUUGAUAAGCCGGUUGUGAAAGCCCCGGGCUCAACCUGGGAACGGCAUCCGGAACUGUCAAGCUAGAGUGCAGGAGAGGAAGGUAGAAUUCCCGGUGUAGCGGUGAAAUGCGUAGAGAUCGGGAGGGAUACCAGUGGCGAAGGCGGCCUUCUGGACUGACACUGACACUGAGGUGCGAAAGCGUGGGUAGCAAACAGGAUUAGAUACCCUAGUAGUC
RNAcentral lists this ribosomal RNA (465 nucleotides) under Vreelandella stevensii. RNAcentral describes it as "partial 16S ribosomal RNA". It matches the Rfam family "Bacterial small subunit ribosomal RNA", at positions 338 to 795 of the family's 1533-position model. Lineage: Bacteria; Pseudomonadati; Pseudomonadota; Gammaproteobacteria; Oceanospirillales; Halomonadaceae. The record is from RNAcentral.